This 564-nucleotide ribosomal RNA is filed under the name uncultured Glomeromycotina. Its description in RNAcentral is "SSU rRNA". It matches the Rfam family "Eukaryotic small subunit ribosomal RNA", at positions 548 to 1114 of the family's 1831-position model. The record is from RNAcentral. Lineage: Eukaryota; Fungi; Glomeromycota.
UUGGAGGGCAAGUCUGGUGCCAGCAGCCGCGGUAAUUCCAGCUCCAAUAGCGUAUAUUAAAGUUGCUGCAGUUAAAAAGCUCGUAGUUGAAUUUCGGGACCAUCAUGUCGGUCGUGCCUCGGUACGUACUGGCAUUGUUGGUUUCUCCCUUCUGACGAACCAUGAUGUCAUUUAUUUGGUGUUGUGGGGAAUCAGGACUGUUACUUUGAAAAAAUUAGAGUGUUUAAAGCAGGCUCACGCUUGAAUACAUUAGCAUGGAAUAAUGAAAUAGGACGUUUGAUUCUGUUUUGUUGGUUUCUAGGAUCGACGUAAUGAUUAAUAGGGAUAGUUGGGGGCAUUAGUAUUCAAUUGUCAGAGGUGAAAUUCUUGGAUUUAUUGAAGACUAACUACCGCGAAAGCAUUUGCCAAGGAUGUUUUCAUUAAUCAAGAACGAAAGUUAGGGGAUCGAAGACGAUCAGAUACCGUCGUAGUCUUAACCAUAAACUAUGCCGACUAGGGAUCGGAUGAUGUUAAUUUUUUAAUGACUCAUUCGGCGCCUUACGGGAAACCAAAGUGUUUGGGUUC